Molecule: transfer-messenger RNA, 387 nt
Filed under: Micrococcaceae
Lineage: Bacteria; Bacillati; Actinomycetota; Actinomycetes; Micrococcales
Also listed under: 1 other name
Description: Pseudoglutamicibacter cumminsii_A Standard tmRNA
Rfam family: transfer-messenger RNA
About the family: Bacterial tmRNA, also known as 10Sa RNA or SsrA, is named for its dual tRNA and mRNA-like properties. Its role is to liberate the mRNA from a stalled ribosome.
Source: RNAcentral
GGGGGCGACUUGGUUUCGACGAUGUGAGUCGCGACAGGGGAAGCGGGCCGAGAAUGUAGAGUCAUCUCGUUAACGUUCUCUGCAAACUAAUAAGUGCCGAAUCUAAGCGCACUGACUUCGCUCUCGCUGCCUAAUUGCAGUGACCGAGUCCGUCAGCCCGGGGUUGCUAUCGCUCCGGUUGUCUGACGUCAGCUAGAUAGCCACUGGUGGGCACGCUUGCCGUGAGCGUGUCCGCGACACUUUUAGCGGCUGAGUCCACAGGGUAACCACAGGCCACUUGCACUGGUGAUGGUCUCUGGGACUGAGAAGCCCUGAAACAGUGCUGCGCCCGGAGAAGUCCUGGCAACACCACAUCGGACGCGAGUUCGAUUCUCGCCGCCUCCACCA